AUGCAUGCAUAAUAUGUACUUAUACUUUUUAGAAGGUCAAUAUUUUAAGAGGUCAACAUGCUGAAAUAAAGAUAAUUGAGGGGAUAUUAAAUUUGAAGCAAAGUGGUUCUAAACAAUCUUCAUGGACCUGUGUUAUUAAAUGUAAAUUCAAAUACACACGUGAAACACCAGAACUGACAGCACAAAGCCAUAGAUUAGUGCUCAAGCUCUUCCUGGCCCUAGAGACCCUUGUAUCAGAAAUAAGUGGAGAUCAGGCUCCAUUCGGUGACAAGUCCUCCUAAGCCACUGUAGUCCUUGAGUAUUAGGAUGAUAACUCCAGUUAUCACUGGGGUCCAUUCUAAUACAAUUACCUGAAAGGUUUCUUUUGGGUCACUGUCCCUUAAAAUCACUUGAAAGGAGCUGAAACUGAAACUCCCUGUAGGGAAAGAGCAAAUUAGCCAGGGUGGCGCUGGGCAGGCUCUCUCACCCCACGUUUUGCAAAUAUAUCCUUAUGUAACAGCUGAGAUGACACAGCACUGUGCAUGCGUGUCGUGAUGUACCCGCUUGGCCAUGAGCCUCUUUUGUUCUGUAAACUGAACAUAAGCCCCACCUGAGAAACCCCUUUUGCCGCUCCACCGCCAUUAGACAAUAAAUAUAUCUGGUGUUCUGAGGGCUCCUGGAGUUUUCUCCCAGCUUCCCCAUUCACGCCUUGCCCACCCUGGGUUCAGCAAGCCAGUGUGAGAAGCGAGACAAUUGGUGUCGUCGGCAGGACACCCAGCAGGCCAAUAUGGAUCGUGCUCUCCAUCAUGCUGCACAAGUGCACGAGUUUCAGAGACAAAGGAAGAGCUAGAGCAGCGUCUGCACACGCUGAAGCAAGAGAUGCCUGGCCUUGAGGAACCCAGCGCCUGGAACUAUGAGACAUAGAAUCCAACCCUGUAUGUCCACCCACCCCCGCUUCAUGGACCCUGGAUGAAGAGAAGAGAACAGGCACAUGUACAUCUCAACUUCUCCCACGUAUGAGCCGAAAGACCUUGAAUAAGUAAGGCACUCUCUACUUCCUUAUCCACAAAAUGGUGUAACUGUAGCAU
RNAcentral lists this long non-coding RNA (1067 nucleotides) under Bos indicus x Bos taurus (hybrid cattle). RNAcentral describes it as "lncRNA (ENSBIXG00000027157.1)". Lineage: Eukaryota; Metazoa; Chordata; Mammalia; Artiodactyla; Bovidae. The record is from RNAcentral.